Molecule: long non-coding RNA, 6949 nt
Organism: Gadus macrocephalus (Pacific cod)
Lineage: Eukaryota; Metazoa; Chordata; Actinopteri; Gadiformes; Gadidae
Exons: 16
Source: RefSeq, a predicted model, not a curated record
GCAUCUGGAUGUUGGAGUCCUCCACUGUUUGGCAUUGUCGUGUCUCCCAAACGCAGGGCUGUUGUGACUUAUUUGACAUAUCUUCCUGUUUCACAGGUUAAAGACUUUUUGAAGUAAAGAGGAGCAUCUCAUCUGAACCUGAUGUCUAUCAUGGAUAUUUAACUGCAGUUCUGUGAGUAUCCCAACUUAACCAUGAAGAUGAACUGCAAACUGUAAGUCAUUAAUUUCUCAUUACUCUUGGGCACAUUGUUGUAUUUUGGCUUCCUGGUGAGUUAACCCGUUACCUGAAGGUUGAUCUGUGGUAAGGAUGUUUUAUUGGUUCAUGGGUUACUUAGGUGUUUGGUUUAUGUUGGUUUUAAUGAUUUGUUAAAAUGGUUACAGGCUCCCAAGUUAUUGUUGUAAGCUGGAGUAAUGGGUUGGGUUCUGAUAUCUUCAGUCUUCUUUCCAGCUACUCUCCUGAGCUCUGCAUCUUCAUCACAUGAGUUUUGCUCUACUGAUGAGCGUGUGGUCUGAGUGAGCAGAGGUGCAUACUGGGAUACAGAGCUGUCUGAAGUCUACAGGUCUGUAGACACGCCCCCUCAGGGGAAACCGAGUGUUUGAGAAACCGUCGUGGCGUCAGUUACAUGGACUGGAAUGUUCUUUAAGAUGGAGACAGGGAUUCAGAAGGAGAAACGCCAGGGGGAGAUGAGGGGGCUCCUCAUCUCAACGACUAAAACACAACUUCAGUCUGACACAGAGAACCAUGGAACACUUUCAACAGUCCCCUCCAGCCAUCGUGACUCCUCAUGAACAGUUUCAUUUCCAAGAAGGUCUUAUUUGGGGCCAUCCCCAUAUGGAUCCUGCUCCUCAAGAGCCACCCCCCUCCACUGGGUGGUCUUCUGAACAGAUGACCUUCCUGUCCUCAGGCUGACUAAAGCUGCACCGUUUGCAUCUGUGAAGGCCCCUCAUUCAGGAAACCACUGGACUACAAAGACAUGACUUCAGAGACGUUGAAUCACCUUGGGACACAUUUUGGAGACGCCAAGCAUAAUCCAUCACCAAUGUGGGACGCCACUGAAAAAUGUUGCACAUAAUUUACUUCUCUGGAGACAUUGUUUGUUCUGUUCUGGGUGCCCUGGCAGGAGAGCUGGGGUUGGAUGAUGGAACGUUAUUUGGCAUGAGGUUUUUACCCUGCAUGAUUGUUUGGCCUUUUGUGUGUGUGUGAGUGUCCCACUCACACCUGGCAUGGGGUUCUACGUGCGUGUCCUGGAUUCUAUGUGUGUGUGUCCGGCUUGCUUUGACAGUAAUAAUGUUCAUACGGGGGUCUGUGUGAUUGGCUUGGGAUAUUGGUCGAUUAAAUCAUACCUGAUGGACGGCCCCAUGUUUACUUGAGGGCCUCCAGUAGACAUGAAGAGCCCAGAGCGAUGCUCCGGAGCGAGAUCCAACACACUGGGCAGGAAGGAGGGUAUCCAACUCAAGUGUAAAAGGAUGCAAGCGGCGUGUUCAGAUCAGUGACUUCAAACUAGGACUACACCAAUCAGGAUCAAUGGAGGAUGGACACCUAAAGGAAUUCCCAAAGGAGAGUCUGACGUUGGAAAGGGACCUAAAUGGAUAUUAAAGAUGACCUUCAGACCUGUAAUGAGACGGCUCUUCCUACCUGGCUGGAUUGAUGGAGAGCCCUGUGGAUCUUGUCUUGCUCUCAGUUGCACGUCUUCUCAGGCUGAACUGUGUUUGUUUCGGACAGGACUAGCUGAACGAUUGGUUCCCUUAAAUCAGAACCAAUCUGGGAACUCCAACUAGUGCGCUCUUCGAGCUGAAGUUGUGCUCUUCAGCUGAGGAGGUAAGAAAACCUUCACUGGGGCUUCAAGGUGUAAAGAGGAGGAUGUUUCAAAGUGUUCCAUGGUACUCUGAUGAGGACCGUUGUUGUGUUCCACUGGCUGGGAGGAAGAACCCUCACAUCUUCCUCUUGGCCUUUCUCCUCUGAGAAUCCUGGCGCCAUCUUGAAGGAUAUUCCAGCUCAUGUAACUGAUGUCACGACAGAUUCUCAAACACUUGGUUUCUCCUGAGGGGCGUUUCUAUAGAACUGAAGACUUGAGACAGUACUGUAUCCCAGCAUGCAUCUCUGCUCACUCAGACUACACCCCCAUGAGUAGGAUGCAACAUUCUAGUGAUUGAGAUGUAGAGUUUUUUUUAAGUAACGAGGGAGCAGACAAAGGUGAUUAGAACUCAAUGGCAUGUCAAGUCUGUAAAUCUUUAAACCAUGGAGAUGGUUGGAUAGUUCAGGAAUUGGGCUUCUAUUUAUUAUGAGCAGUCCUUUCGCUCAGAUGCCCACUUCUCACUGGACCUGACCAUGUGUUGGCUGGCUGGCAUGAUUUGCUGUUGGUGAUGAGGCGGUCAAGGUGACGUUGCAGGGCUAUGGUCGGCUCUGUGUGAGCUCAACGUUUAGAUUUGCUCUGUAUGGUUUGUACGCUGAAUAAUCUAGAUAAUUGUAAAAUGUAGACACGGUUUUGUAUUGAAUGAUUCCAUUGUUCUUAGGCAAGGAUUUGAGGUUUAAAGUUGUUGUGGGACGUACAUGGUAGUUUGGUUCUUUGUACGGUUUUGAGUGAUAUAACUUGUACACACUGGGUGCAUAAUAAUGUAACGGUACACUGAAUAGUAUUAAUGACCAACAGCAACAAACAGAUCUCCUCAAGGUAAGUCUGUUGGCUGUAUUUUAAUGAAGACCAUCGCUGGACUCCAGGAUCUUCCUCCGUUCAGCUCAAGGUGAGGCGCUGGUUAUGUUUUUUUCAUUGGUUGGUUCCGGCCGGAAUGUUCGGAUUCCGGUCGGACGGUUUGUGCUUCCCGCCGUGGAGGUUUCUGAGUGCGGUCACUUUAUUUAGUCCCAAUGGUUAGCAUAGAACGUUGUAGUCUUGAUAAACAUUAGAAGCCACCUGGCAGUUAGUUGGACCGGAGUCCCCUGAGGGAAUCUGGCAGAACGUUCUGGAUUGUAUUUGCGUAACCUCGAGCCGCUGCCAACGGAAACAAUUUUUCAGUCGGUUUCCAUUGGGAAUUGUUGCCCCUCAUCUUAAACAACUUUAAGUUUGAUAUUAAAUAAUACAUUUAAUUUAAAGGGCGCCUUUCAAGACACCCAAGGUCACCUUACAGAGCAUAAAGUUAUUAUAAAUCGUUUAAAAACAAGACAUUGUGGAAAAAUAAUAACAAAUAAAUAAAUAAAACAAAAACAAGACAAAACAAACAAUCAAGACGGUGAUCAGUUAGACGUAAAUACAUACUGACACGUACGUCGUACAAGAUCUUGAUAAUUUUCGAUGGUUGCGCCGUACUUCUAACCACGUUGACGGGACUCGCGCUGCGUACGAAACGGCCUUCUACUUGCGGGCCCAUUUUUGACAUCAGUGAAGGCUGUAAAUCAUUUCAAGCUGGAAGACAUUUUGACAGUUCUUCAACGGAACCCAACACCUGAAUAUGGCUGAGUAAAUUUGAUUUAAUAUCGAUACUGCUUAGUGUUUGUUACUUCAGCUUUUGUACGUUCUAAAUAUCUGCGGCCAUUAAUUGCCACAGAAGUUAAACCCUACCCAAUGGAAUGACGUUAAACAACGACUUUGUUGCAGAGUUACCAACUGGAUAAUAUCAAAGCUAAAAUAAUGGCCGUUCUUCUCACAUGUUACAGUAGAAGAUUAUCCAGAACUGUAAAGGGUUAAAAAGGUAACAUGUAGUUUGUCCCAAGGUGUCUGCCUCCUCACCCAGAGCAAGACCUCCACCUCCUCACCCAGAGCCAGACCUCCACCUCCUGUCAGAAGUCCUCCAGAACAGGUCAGUGCUCUGGUGUGCGAGUAGAGUCUUCUCAGGUCAGUUUCAAUGCAUGGCCUGAACCACUUCUUUAAACUUGUGGACUGCUGUCUUCAUUCCCAAAAACGGGAUGCUCAUGUCUGGUCUCAAGUCUUUUCUAGCCUUGAGUUAUAAAAUAAUGGUUAAAUUAAUUGUGUAACUCGGUUUCGGAUGAGUCAAUUAAGUUUAUUGUUGGGCAAAUUCUGAUAUAACCCUGCUGCUGUAUCUGAAAGGCGAGGCUGAGAGGCUGGGGACCGGAGGCUUGUGGUGUCAGGGUGGACCGGAGACUGAGGCUGGAGACCAGGGGCCUGCAGCACCAGACCAGAGGACCAGGAAUCCAUGUCUGGAGGAGCUGAUGGAGGAGCCGUGCUGAUGGAGGAGCCGUGCUGAAGGAGCUGAUGGAGGAGCCCUGCUGAAGGCCCUGCCUGGUGGAGGCCCUGCCUGGUGGAGGACGUCUGUCGUGGGGUAGAUGGAGCUUGACUCUGAAACCAGGACUCUGUCUGAGGAGAGCUGCUGGAGGAGUUGAGACGCUGGAGGACGACUAGGAAUCGACCAACAAGGAUUCCUCAACGUGUUUCUGGAGCGGAGACGUUGGGGCCGGACUUGCGCUGUUUGUUCCAGACCAGGAUUCUGUCUGAGGAGAGCUGCUGGAGGAGCCAAGACUCUGGAGGACGACAUCACUCCACCAACCAGGAUCCUCACCAGGAAUCUGGAGGACUGAUGGAGAAGCCGUACAUCUGGAAGGCAAAUCCUGAGGACAACCAGGACUCUACCAUCAAGGAUUCCUCACACACCUGAGCUGAACCCCAACUGAACCUGACAUCCUGCUGGUCCCGUCUCCUCAGUUCAUCUUAGCCUCCUCUUCCAGAAGACCUGCUGAGCUCAGCAGUCUGAGGCUGAUGUAUCAAUGACCUCCAGUGGGAGUGAUCUUCUUGACCCCACAUGUAACCGUGUGCUUCCACACGCCUUUCCCUCACGUCUGUCACUAACCUCACUACUCUCUACUGCUUCCUCUUCUUUUUCCUUCUCUGUGGUUCGAACCUUUACACGGAAGGCGCGUCUUCCUGCCCUCAGAGGGUUCAGCAUUAGGGUUGAGUCAGGGUUUAGAGUCAGGGACAGAGCUGGUCAGGGAGGACUGCUUUAACACAAACCUCUUCACUUGCUUUCGGAAUGGUGGUGACAUUUUGAAAAGAUUCAUUUGGGAAAAUGUUUUCCUCUGCUUCCCUUUACAAAAUUGUAUUAAACUUCUGUCAAGUGCUUUUGUUGAUAUAUUAAAAUCUGUUUUACCACAUGUUGAAGCAAGACUUCCGCUGUUUGUUCCAGACCAGGACUCUUUCUGAGGAGAGCUGCUGGAGGAGCUUAGACGCUGGAGGACGACUAGGAAUCGACCAACAAGGAUUCCUCAACGUGUUUCUGGAGCGGAGACGUUGGGGCCGGACUUGCGCUGUUUGUUCCAGACCAGGAUUCUGUCUGAGGAGAGCUGCUGGAGGAGCCAAGACUCUGGAGGACGACAUCACUCCACCAACCAGGAUCCUCACCAGGAAUCUGGAGGACUGAUGGAGAAGCCGUACAUCUGGAAGGCAAAUCCUGAGGACAACCAGGACUCUACCAUCAAGGAUUCCUCACACACCUGAGCUGAACCCCAACUGAACCUGACAUCCUGCUGGUCCCGUCUCCUCAGUUCAUCUUAGCCUCCUCUUCCAGAAGACCUGCUGAGCUCAGCAGUCUGAGGCUGAUGUAUCAAUGACCUCCAGUGGGAGUGAUCUUCUUGACCCCACAUGUAACCGUGUGCUUCCACACGCCUUUCCCUCACGUCUGUCACUAACCUCACUACUCUCUACUGCUUCCUCUUCUUUUUCCUUCUCUGUGGUUCGAACCUUUACACGGAAGGCGCGUCUUCCUGCCCUCAGAGGGUUCAGCAUUAGGGUUGAGUCAGGGUUUAGAGUCAGGGACAGAGCUGGUCAGGGAGGACUGCUUUAACACAAACCUCUUCACUUGCUUUCGGAAUGGUGGUGACAUUUUGAAAAGAUUCAUUUGGGAAAAUGUUUUCCUCUGCUUCCCUUUACAAAAUUGUAUUAAACUUCUGUCAAGUGCUUUUGUUGAUAUAUUAAAAUCUGUUUUACCACAUGUUGAAGCAAGACUUCCGCUGUUUGUUCCAGACCAGGACUCUUUCUGAGGAGAGCUGCUGGAGGAGCUUAGACGCUGGAGGACGACUAGGAAUCGACCAACAAGGAUUCCUCAACGUGUUUCUGGAGCGGAGGUGAGCUGGUAGGGGAGCCUUGAAUCUGGAGGAGGACCAUCACUCUACCAACAAGGAUUGGAAGUUUGUAUUAACCUAACAAAGUGGAAAUAAAGGGCUUUAAAAUAAGACAAACUACAUAUUUGUUUCCAGACAUUGGGGCCUGACUUGCGCUGUUUGUUCCAGACCAGGAUUCUGUCUGAGGAGAGCUGCUGGAGGAGCCAGGACUCUGGAGGACGACAUCACUCCACCAACCAGGAUCCUCAGACAAAUUACGUUUGUAACCAGACCAGGAAUCUGGAGGACUGAUGGAGAAGCCGUACAUCUGGAAGGCAAAUCCUGAGGACAACCAGGACUCUACCAGCAAGGAUUCCUCACACACCUGAGCUGAACCUCACCUGAUCCUGUUUGUCGGGGGCAGACACACCUGAGCUGAACCCCAACUGAACCUGACAUCCUGUCCCGUCUCCUCAGUUCAUCUUAGCCUCGUCCUCCAGAAGACCUGCUGAGCUCAGCAGUCUGAGGCUGAUGGAUCAAUGACCUCCAGUGGGAGUGAUUUUCUUGACCCCACAUGUAACCGUGUGCUUCCACACGCCUUUCCCUCACGUCUGUCACUAACCUCACUACUUCACUACUCUCUACUGCUUCCUCUUCUUUUUCCUUCUCUGUGGUUCGAACCUUUACACGGAAGGCGCGUCUUCCUGCCCUCAGAGGGUUCAGCGUCAGGGUUUAGAGUCAGGGACAGAGCUGGUCAGGGAGGACUGCUUUAACACAAACCUCUUCAAUUGCUUUCGGAAUGGUGGUGACAUUUUGAAAAGAUUCAUUUGGGAAAAUGUUUUCCUCUGCUUCCCUUUACAAAAUUGUAUUAAACUUCUGUCAAGUGCUUUUGUUUAUAUAUUAAAA